This 85-nucleotide transfer RNA is filed under the name Garciella nitratireducens DSM 15102. RNAcentral describes it as "tRNA_Tyr_GTA". It matches the Rfam family "tRNA". From Rfam's summary of the family: Transfer RNA (tRNA) molecules are approximately 80 nucleotides in length. Their secondary structure includes four short double-helical elements and three loops (D, anti-codon, and T loops). The record is from RNAcentral. Lineage: Bacteria; Bacillati; Bacillota; Clostridia; Eubacteriales; Eubacteriaceae.
GGAGGGAUUCCCGAGUGGCCAAAGGGGGCAGACUGUAAAUCUGUUGGCUUAGCCUUCGAAGGUUCGAAUCCUUCUCCCUCCACCA